Molecule: ribosomal RNA, 497 nt
Filed under: uncultured bacterium
Lineage: Bacteria
Description: partial 16S ribosomal RNA
Rfam family: Bacterial small subunit ribosomal RNA
Source: RNAcentral
GAUGAACGCUGGCGGCGUGCCUAAUACAUGCAAGUCGAGCGAACAGACGAGGAGCUUGCUCCUCUGACGUUAGCGGCGGACGGGUGAGUAACACGUGGAUAACCUACCUAUAAGACUGGCAUAACUUCGGGAAACCGGAGCUAAUACCGGAUAAUAUAUUGAACCGCAUGGUUCAAUAGUGAAAGACGGUUUUGCUGUCACUUAUAGAUGGAUCCGCGCCGCAUUAGCUAGUUGGUAAGGUAACGGCUUACCAAGGCGACGAUGCGUAGCCGACCUGAGAGGGUGAUCGGCCACACUGGAACUGAGACACGGUCCAGACUCCUACGGGAGGCAGCAGUAGGGAAUCUUCCGCAAUGGGCGAAAGCCUGACGGAGCAACGCCGCGUGAGUGAUGAAGGUCUUCGGAUCGUAAAACUCUGUUAUUAGGGAAGAACAAAUGUGUAAGUAACUAUGCACGUCUUGACGGUACCUAAUCAGAAAGCCACGGCUAACUACGUG